Long non-coding RNA from Dromaius novaehollandiae (emu), 711 nucleotides. RefSeq lists it as uncharacterized. The transcript is spliced from 2 exons. The record is from RefSeq and is a predicted model, not a curated record. Lineage: Eukaryota; Metazoa; Chordata; Aves; Casuariiformes; Dromaiidae.
GGGGAUGUGGUGGGGGGCAGCCAUGGGGGGAGUGGGGGGCAGCCGUGGGGUGUUGGGGGUCGGUGCCACCCAUGGCCGUGAGCGAGGCCAGCUGAGCCUCCACUGCCACCUCCCUCCGAGGAGGGACAGGCCGAGGUGCCCCCACAGCCCCCCAUGUCCGUCCGUCUGUCCCGCGGGACCGGGCACUUGUCCACACCUGCACGUCCCGUAACUCCCCCUUCAGCAAACGCUGAGGCGACCUAGGAGAGGAAAAAAGAUAAAUAUGCUGCUGAUAAACACCGGAGUCGCAAUACAGACAACACAGGCUUACAUUCUUUGUGUAACCAACGAACAAUAACCCAUUUCUCAAGAAUUUAUCUUGGACCACAUUAAAAUCCCACUUCACUUGCCUACAUUAGUACUUUAAAAGGUGGUAAAAAUAAGCUUUAUUUUUAAGUCUUAAAUAGGAUGGGCUCCUUCCUGGCCGUAGGGAAAACUGGUUUUAGCGCUUGCUUGCCCCUUAGGGCAGGGAUCUUCCUUUCCUUGCCUGUUGCUCACCCUGUGUCGAGGAAUAUAUAAAAAAAAGCCGCGCGAUACACUUAUCCGGAGAGCGUUUCCCUUCCAACGCGUGAUCCCUGGCAGCCUGGCGCUGGGCUGCCGUGAAAUAUCGCGGCAAUAAAAAAUAUAUCAGGGCGAGCGUCGCUGUGUCCGACUCCCGUUCAAGCAGCAGAA